GACGAACGCUGGCGGCGUGCUUAACACAUGCAAGUCGAACGGAAAGGCCCUGCUUUUGUGGGGUGCUCGAGUGGCGAACGGGUGAGUAACACGUGAGUAACCUGCCCUUGACUUUGGGAUAACUUCAGGAAACUGGGGCUAAUACCGGAUAGGAGCUCCUGCUGCAUGGUGGGGGUUGGAAAGUUUCGGCGGUUGGGGAUGGACUCGCGGCUUUUAGCCUGUUGGUGGGGUAGUGGCGUACCAAGGCUUUGACGGGUAGCCGGCCUGAGAGGGUGACCGGCCACAUUGGGACUGAGAUACGGCCCAGACUCCUACGGGAGGCAGCAGUGGGGAAUAUUGCACAAUGGGCGGAAGCCUGAUGCAGCAACGCCGCGUGCGGGAUGACGGCCUUCGGGUUGUAAACCGCUUUCGCCUGUGACGAAGCGUGAGUGACGGUAAUGGGUAAAGAAGCACCGGCUAACUACGUG
RNAcentral lists this ribosomal RNA (467 nucleotides) under uncultured bacterium. RNAcentral's name for it is "partial 16S ribosomal RNA". It matches the Rfam family "Bacterial small subunit ribosomal RNA", at positions 28 to 507 of the family's 1533-position model. The record is from RNAcentral.